CCUACGGGGGGCAGCAGUGGGGAAUAUUGCACAAUGGGGGGAACCCUGAUGCAGCGACGCCGCGUGGGUGAAGGAGCACCUCGGUGCGUAAAGCCCUAUCGGCAGGGAAGAAAAGCGAACAGGUUCGCCUGGACGGUACCUGACUAAGAAGCCCCGGCUAACUACGUGCCAGCAGCCGCGGUAAUACGUAGGGAGCGAGCGUUAUCCGGAAUUAUUGGGUGUAAAGGGUGCGUAGGCGGUUUGAUAAGUCAGUGGUGAAAGCCUAGAGCUUAACUCUAGUAAGCCAUUGAAACUGUCGAACUUGG
This 305-nucleotide ribosomal RNA is filed under the name uncultured bacterium. RNAcentral's name for it is "bacterial SSU rRNA". It matches the Rfam family "Bacterial small subunit ribosomal RNA", at positions 338 to 645 of the family's 1533-position model. The record is from RNAcentral.